UACGUAGGGUGCGAGCGUUAAUCGGAAUUACUGGGCGUAAAGCGUGCGCAGGCGGUUCGUUGUGUCGGCGGUGAAAGCCCCGGGCUUAACCUGGGAAUGGCCGUUGAAACUGGCGAACUGGAGUGUGGCAGAGGGGGGUGGAAUUCCGCGUGGUAGCAGUGAAAUGCGUAGAGAUGCGGAGGAACACCGAUGGCGAAGGCAGCCCCCUGGGCUAACACUGACGCUCAGGCACGAAAGCGUGGGGAGCGAACAGG
This 254-nucleotide ribosomal RNA is filed under the name uncultured bacterium. RNAcentral describes it as "partial 16S ribosomal RNA". It matches the Rfam family "Bacterial small subunit ribosomal RNA", at positions 524 to 776 of the family's 1533-position model. The record is from RNAcentral.